Molecule: long non-coding RNA, 311 nt
Organism: Gastrolobium bilobum
Lineage: Eukaryota; Viridiplantae; Streptophyta; Magnoliopsida; Fabales; Fabaceae
Exons: 3
Source: RefSeq, a predicted model, not a curated record
AGAUACUUCCCAUUUUCAGUUACGAAAUAUUGAAGUAUUUUGGGGAUUUUGGUGGAUUGGAAGCUCACUUUGGUUCAUUGGUUGCUUGAAGAUCAUUCCCUUGGACCCUAGGAGUUGUUUUGUGGUUGUCGUACGUCGAAUUGAAUCCUGAACAGUGAAUCAGUGAAUUGCCCUUGGUCCUGGACCAAGUGGAUUGAGGCGUUCUGUUGAGUAGCAGACUUGGAACUUAAGCUGCUGCGGAGCUAAGUGAGAAAACUUUUUAAGGUAACCUCUUGGUACUGGGGCUUGUUCCCCUUUUCUGUUCCACCUUG